RNAcentral lists this ribosomal RNA (460 nucleotides) under uncultured bacterium. RNAcentral describes it as "partial 16S ribosomal RNA". It matches the Rfam family "Bacterial small subunit ribosomal RNA", at positions 338 to 795 of the family's 1533-position model. The record is from RNAcentral.
CCUACGGGAGGCAGCAGUGAGGAAUAUUGGUCAAUGGACGCAAGUCUGAACCAGCCAUGCCGCGUGCAGGAAGAAGGCUCUAUGAGUUGUAAACUGCUUUUGUACGAGGGUAAACGCAGAUACGCGUAUCUGUCUGAAAGUAUCGUACGAAUAAGGAGCGGCUAACUCCGUGCCAGCAGCCGCGGUAAUACGGAGGAUUCAAGCGUUAUCCGGAUUUAUUGGGUUUAAAGGGUGCGUAGGCGGUAGGAUAAGUUAGAGGUGAAAUCCCGAGGCUCAACUUCGGAAUUGCCUCUGAUACUGUUGGGCUAGAGUGUAGGAGAGGUAGGCGGAAUGCAUGGUGUAGCGGUGAAAUGCGUAGAGAUCAGGCAGAACACCGGUUGCGAAGGCAGCUUACCAAGCUACUACUGACGUUGAGGCACGAAAGCGUGGGGAGCAAACAGGAUUAGAUACCCGAGUAGUC